This 1597-nucleotide long non-coding RNA is filed under the name Oryctolagus cuniculus (rabbit). RNAcentral's name for it is "lncRNA (ENSOCUG00000035683.1)". Lineage: Eukaryota; Metazoa; Chordata; Mammalia; Lagomorpha; Leporidae. The record is from RNAcentral.
GUAGUACUGAUGGGGCUUUUAUUGGCUUGCUUGGAUUCUUUGGCCCUCUGUAAUCCAUUUCAGAAUGAAAAUUUUGUCCCGAAGUAGAAGGUUUUUUCAUCUUCUUUCCUGACACUGUGCUCCAGCUUUCUGGGGGAGGUGGUUUGAGGGUCUUCACGGCAUGUUUUUUUCCCAAUUCUUCAACCAAAACUGGUCCAUUCUCAGAGUGAACUCCUUGAAUAUCUGCAUUAGGAAAUUUUCCAUUGUGAUCCAACCUAACUUGGCAUUUCUCUCCAACUUCAUAUUGUAAACCAGCAGCAAUGGAAUAAUCACGCUUUUGUUGAGCUUGUUUAGACUUCAGCCAAAUUUCAUAUUCCACAUUUCUGUAGACUGCUGGAUUGAGUGACUUAAGAACCUUUCUAGACAAGGGAAAGCUAGUAGAAUUCCCAUUGUUCUUCAAGUGCUCAUCGCCUGACAAAGGUUUAAAUCCAUUCACAUCAUUAGCAGUUUUCCUCUUGCAACUAUCAUCCUCUGAAUCUGAUAUUUCACUGUUGUUUCCAUCAGCUACUUCAGAAGUGUCUAGUCCCAUCACGAUUUUACUGACAUCAGCUUUAAAUACCUUCUCAUAGAGCAAUUCAUAAAGAAGAGACUGACACAUAGCAGAACUAUCUUUAUACUUUAUGGGGUAAACAAUAUCAUAGUGAUUUCCAUUUGAAAAACAUAGUAAUACCUUUUCAGGAAAAUUAUUUUCAGUUACUUGUGCCGGAGAAACAUUCGGUUCCCGAUAAAUUAUAAAAUCUUUCCUGUACAUAAGAGAAAGGGCACUUAUUUCCACUUGUCCUACCCACUCCUGUGGAUUUUGCAAACGCUUUAAAUACUCUUCAAAUGAUCCUUCUAUGAACGCUUCAAAUUUCUCUCUGUUUUCUCGAAGAUAGUGAAUACAGGCCAUUCUAACUUCAACAUGACGAGACUGAGAGUGCAACACCUGCUCCGCCACGGCCCGGAACAGGCACGACCCGUCCUUGGCGACCAGUUUGCGAUACAAACCGUUUCCGCAGGUAGGCGUCCAUGGGCGUCGCGUCCUCGCGGGCUAGCCCCACAUGGCCGCGCCGCCGGCAGCUCGACGCCCCGGCCUGGCUCCGGCUCCGGCUCCGGCUCCGCGAGCGGCAGCAGGCGGCGGCCGAGGCAGCGGUCCGCGCUCCCCAGACGCAUAGGGCGAGCCCUGCCUAGUGCAUGGCCGGCCGCACGCGACCGCCUCCCCGGAGGGAGCACGCGCCCAGAGAGGAGACGGCGUGGGGCGGCAGGGAGGGAAGAAAAUCCCGAGGGACGAGAGUCGCGUCCCGGGGGCCUCGCCGCCCAGUCAGGAACCGGGCCGGGGAUCGCCGCCCGCACGAGUUUCCUGGUCCCCACCGGCGUGGAGCGAGGAAGCCCCCGCCCCCGGCGCGCUCGCGGGGCCCGCUCAGGUGAGCCUGCCCGCCUACCCCGCGCGCUCCCCUCGCCGGGCGCUGAGGAAACCAGAAGAAAAGAGCCGCGGCCUCGCGUCUCCCCACCUCGCCGGAGGGCGCCUGAGGGGCCAGUGCUGUAUUUUUAUCUUCGUUCAUUUCCAGAAAUUUUUUGA